This 404-nucleotide ribosomal RNA is filed under the name Actinomycetes bacterium. Its description in RNAcentral is "Actinobacteria bacterium partial 16S ribosomal RNA". It matches the Rfam family "Bacterial small subunit ribosomal RNA", at positions 355 to 776 of the family's 1533-position model. Lineage: Bacteria; Bacillati; Actinomycetota; Actinomycetes. The record is from RNAcentral. RNAcentral also lists the same sequence under 1 other name.
UGGGGAAUAUUGGACAAUGGGCGCAAGCCUGAUCCAGCCAUGCCGCGUGAGUGAGGAAGGCCCUAGGGUUGUAAAGCUCUUUCACCGGUGAAGAUAAUGACGGUAACCGGAGAAGAAGCCCCGGCUAACUUCGUGCCAGCAGCCGCGGUAAUACGAAGGGGGCUAGCGUUGUUCGGAUUUACUGGGCGUAAAGCGCACGUAGGCGGACUUUUAAGUCAGGGGUGAAAUCCCGGGGCUCAACCCCGGAACUGCCUUUGAUACUGGAAGUCUUGAGUAUGGUAGAGGUGAGUGGAAUUCCGAGUGUAGAGGUGAAAUUCGUAGAUAUUCGGAGGAACACCAGUGGCGAAGGCGGCUCACUGGACCAUUACUGACGCUGAGGUGCGAAAGCGUGGGGAGCAAACAGG